RNA transcript from Tripterygium wilfordii, 2121 nucleotides. It is a transcript of the gene named transcription initiation factor TFIID subunit 15b-like, with no coding region annotated. The record is from RefSeq and is a predicted model, not a curated record. The transcript has 8 exons. Lineage: Eukaryota; Viridiplantae; Streptophyta; Magnoliopsida; Celastrales; Celastraceae.
AGAAGAGAGAAGAGAGAAAAGAGAAAAAUAUCUCCGAGUCGGUCAAUAAAUAUAAAUCCAAAGCCAAACACUAUACACCGGUUCAGUGUGCCCUAAUCCACUUGCUCUCUCUUGCGAAGAUCAUGUCUGGGAUGUACGGUCAAGACGGCGGCGAAUCUGCUCCUCCCUCUUACGGAGAUGGUGGAUAUGGUGGUGGAGGAGGAGGAGGAUACGGAGGUUAUGGAGGCGACGGUGGUCGUAGUAGUGGGAGUCAUGGAGGCCGAGGAGGUAGUGGUUAUGGAGGGGGCGGUAGAGGAGGAAGCGGCGGCGGCGGCUACGGAGGAAAUUCACAAUAUCGAGGAGGAGGUGGUGGUGGUGGAGGAGGAUAUCACGGAGCGGAUCGCGGCGGCCGUGGCGGCGGCAGCGGUGGCGGAAGCAGAGGUGGUGGUAGAGGAGGAAGUGGCAGGGAUGGUGACUGGGUUUGCCCUAAUCCAAGCUGUGGUAAUUUGAACUUUGCCAGAAGAGUUGAGUGUAACAAAUGUGGUGCUCCCUCUCCUGCGGGUGGCAAUGAUCGUGGUGGUAACAGUGGGGGUGGUGGGUAUAAUAAAGGAGGAAGUGGAGGUGGAUAUGGAAGUAAUCGAGGGGGUAGAGGUGGAAAUUAUGAUGGGGCUAGAAGCAGCAAUUACAAUGGAGGAAGAGGUGGAGAUUAUGAUGGGAGGACUGGUGGCAGCAGUAGAGGGGGUUCGUAUGGUGGUAAUCAAGAAAUGGGGGAUGGUGUCUAUGAUCAAGCUCCUCCACUUGCACCUCCUUAUAGUGGUGCUGGUGGAAACUAUCCGCCCCCUCCAAACUCAUAUGGGGGUGACACAAAGUAUGGAACGGAUGCCGUUCCUCCACCCUCUAGCUAUACUGGUGGUCCAACAUCAUACCCUCCUUCCUACGGUGGCCCUGUUGGCGGUUAUGGCGGUGAUGCCAUGGCGGAACCUAGAAGUGGCAGUAGGGGUGCUCCUGGUGGAUAUUCUGCUGGCGGUCCUAGGCAUCAGGGUGGUGGUCAUGGCGCUCCUGCUGAUGCUUCUGUCAAAAUCAAGCAGUGUGAUGGGAAUUGUGGGGAUUCUUGUGACAACUCCAGAAUAUAUAUAUCAAAUCUGCCUCCAGAUGUGACCAUAGAAGAACUUAGAGAUCUCUUUUCCGGCAUUGGACAAGUUGGAAGAAUUAAGCAGAAGCGAGGUUAUAAAGAUCAGUGGCCCUGGAACAUAAAAAUAUACACAGAUGAGAAGGGAAACAAUAAGGGAGAUGCAUGUUUGUCUUAUGAAGAUCCAUCUGCUGCUCAUUCUGCUGGAGGGUUUUUCAACGAUUACGAUAUGAGAGGCUAUAAAAUCAGUGUUGCAAUGGCAGAAAAAACAGCUCCCAAGGCUCCACCGUCAUACAAUGGAGGUGGUGGUAGAGGUGGCUAUGGGGGUGGAGACCGCAGAAAUAAUUACAGAGAAGGUGGUUCAGGGCCAGAUAGACACCAACACGGGGGAAAUCGUUCUCGCCCAUACUGAGGAUGUCUAAGCAUUUUAAUGUACUAAGAAUUUGUGGUCUAAGGGAUUUUGUUGUAUUCCAUUGGCAAGUUGUUUCUGAACUGGAGAUUAAGAGAGACGAGCGGAUUAACUCCUAUAUUGCUUGCUGCUUAAGGUAGGUUGAUAAUUUCAGGAAAUGCUUCCAUGAGGUCGGAUGCAGUGUCGUACUGAAUUUCUGGCGGUGCUAUGCGAGAAAUGACGUCUGUCGCUGCUUCGACAUGGAAUGCGGCCAAAGGGCACCAAACAGUUUGAUAUGCUUUUCUGCAAACGGGAACUGUUCUUGGGUUGGCAGGCUGGUAGGCUGGUAGGCUGGUAGGCUGGUUUUCUACUCCCCUUGGGGUCUGCCAACGUCUCGACAUUCUCACGAUGGCAAGUCAUAGUAGUGGGUGGUUUUGGGGAGGAGUCCUAUUCAACGGCUAGUUGACACCCUUUUGUGGGGCUGCUGGGUGUUUGUCAUCGUCACCAUUAGGUGCUACAAUGCGGUUUGGCUCAUUCUUCCUAUCUUAGUUGGUACGGAUGAAAAUAAUGUAUAUACAUGUUUGUAGAAACCUUUUUCUUAGCAGAGAUAGCAUCGAUUAAUGAA